Molecule: ribosomal RNA, 320 nt
Filed under: uncultured eukaryote
Lineage: Eukaryota
Description: partial 18S ribosomal RNA
Rfam family: Eukaryotic small subunit ribosomal RNA
Source: RNAcentral
CCCUUAGAUGUUCUGGGCUGCACGCGCGCUACACUGACAUACUCAGCAAGUUUCCUUUCCCGAAAGGGUUGGGUAAUCUUGUUAGUGUAUGUCGUGAUGGGGAUAGAAUAUUGUAAUUAUUGCUCUUUAACGAGGAAUUCCUAGUAAGCGCAAGUCAACAGCUUGCGCUGAUUACGUCCCUGCCCUUUGUACACACCGCCCGUCGCUCCUACCGAUUGGGUGAUCCGGUGAAUGGUUCAGACUCUGGCUAUGCUAGCUACUAGCUACGUCAGGGAAAGUUCUGUGAACCUUAUCACUUGGAGGAAGGAGAAGUCGUAACA